AUGCAACGGACGAUAUCGUUGAUUCUCAACAAGAGGCAACAAUAAUUCAGUUCUCCCAUCAUCCAAUGACUAACUGGUCCAAUGGCCUUCAUCCUCGUCUUCGAGCUCUCAGCUUCGUACGCGAUAUACAAUAUACAAGUUGUCUUAGCAAGCUUCGGCCACGCUCCAAUUGGUUGCAUUAACCAGCGAUUCACCUGGAUGCUGUAUUCAAAAUCACGAGCGUAAAUAACGUUGGAUAUCCGUGGUUCGCUAGUCAAUUCCAACAUGAUUACUUCGCGGAGGUCGUUUGUAGAGUGACUUACUCAAGUUUCAGGUACCUGUUCAGCAACUAAUUCUCCUAUAUAACAAAAUAUAAAAAUGUUGAAAGUGAACGAUGUCAUUAAGGCCAUGUGAGUUAUUGAAAGCAUUAUGUCUUUCGAAUUCCAUUCCUGCAACAUCAUAUAACACUCUGUGUUAAUAUAGCACAUUUUACUGUACGAGCGUCUUGCAUGUGUGGCAACAGGUUGAAGGAAUCAAUUUCUAUGGGGAAACUCUUCAGUCGGGGAAACUUCUCACAUUUCCUAACAUAUCUUCAGAUCCAGCUCGUCAAAACCUGCAUCUGGCCACAUGCGUGCACCGCAAAUAUAGCAGCUAAACUACAUGCCGCUGACGUAAUACUAUGCAU
Long non-coding RNA from Bombus pyrosoma, 664 nucleotides. RefSeq lists it as uncharacterized. The transcript has 5 exons. The record is from RefSeq and is a predicted model, not a curated record. NCBI's taxonomy places the organism in Eukaryota, Metazoa, Arthropoda, Insecta, Hymenoptera, Apidae.